GCGCGAGUGGCGAAAUGGCAGCCGCGCCAGGUUUAGGUCCUGGUGCCUUCGGGCGUGCGGGUUCAAGUCCCGCCUCGCGCA
Molecule: transfer RNA, 81 nt
Filed under: Cellulomonadaceae bacterium
Lineage: Bacteria; Bacillati; Actinomycetota; Actinomycetes; Micrococcales; Cellulomonadaceae
Description: tRNA-Leu
Rfam family: tRNA
About the family: Transfer RNA (tRNA) molecules are approximately 80 nucleotides in length. Their secondary structure includes four short double-helical elements and three loops (D, anti-codon, and T loops). Further hydrogen bonds mediate the characteristic L-shaped molecular structure. tRNAs have two regions of fundamental functional importance: the anti-codon, which is responsible for specific mRNA codon recognition, and the 3' end, to which the tRNAs corresponding amino acid is attached (by aminoacyl-tRNA synthetases). tRNAs cope with the degeneracy of the genetic code in two manners: having more than one tRNA (with a specific anti-codon) for a particular amino acid; and 'wobble' base-pairing, i.e. permitting non-standard base-pairing at the 3rd anti-codon position.
Source: RNAcentral